RNAcentral lists this long non-coding RNA (260 nucleotides) under Elaeis guineensis (African oil palm). RNAcentral describes it as "long non-coding RNA (EGUI_LNC060274)". Lineage: Eukaryota; Viridiplantae; Streptophyta; Magnoliopsida; Arecales; Arecaceae. The record is from RNAcentral.
CGUGCAUGCAAAGUAGAGGGUCUGUAUAUCCAAGCCUCCGUGAAGGUUUAUAUCAGAUAAUUUAAGAUUUAAUCUCUGAUUCUACUAUAAUUCAGAUAAAAAAUUGAUCCUUAAAUAAGUAGAAUAUUAGAAAAAAAAUUUUAGAUGCAACCUUGGUAUUCUGGAGGGAAACUAUUUUCUUCCCUUCAUAAAGAGCCUAUCAUGCCUCUAUAAUGCUUUGAAUCAACAUUUUUAUCAUGUUCAUCUUUAUCUAAUUUACA